AAUAGAUUACCCCGGUAGUCCACGCCGUAAACGAUGAGAACUAGAUGUUGGUUGGGGAACCAAUCAGUAUCGAAGCUAACGCGAUAAGUUCUCCGCCUGGGAAGUACGGCCGCAAGGUUGAAACUCAAAUGAAUUGACGGGGGCCCGCACAAGCGGUGGAGCAUGUGGUUUAAUUCGAUGCAACGCGAAGAACCUUACCUACCCUUGACAUCCUGCGAAUUCUGAAGAGAUUUGGAAGUGCCGAAAGGAGCGCAGAGACAGGUGCUGCAUGGCUGUCGUCAGCUCGUGUUGUGAGAUGUUGGGUUAAGUCCCGUAACGAGCGCAACCCUUGUCCUUAGUUACCAGCAAGUAAAGUUGGGGGCUCUAAGGAGACUGCCGGUGAUGAACCGGAGGAAGGCGGGGACGACGUCAAGUCAUCAUGGCCUUUAUGGGUAGGGCUACACACGUGCUACAAUGGGGCGUACAGAGGGUCGCCAACCCGCGAGGGGGAGCCAAUCUCUUAAAGCGUCUCGUAGCCCGGAUUGGAGUCUGCAACUCGACUCC
Molecule: ribosomal RNA, 543 nt
Filed under: uncultured bacterium
Lineage: Bacteria
Description: bacterial SSU rRNA
Rfam family: Bacterial small subunit ribosomal RNA
Source: RNAcentral